GCGGCCGUGGCGGAAUUGGUAGACGCGCAGCGUUGAGGUCGCUGUGGGGUAACACCUGUGGAAGUUCGAGUCUUCUCGGCCGCACCA
Molecule: transfer RNA, 87 nt
Filed under: Paracoccaceae bacterium
Lineage: Bacteria; Pseudomonadati; Pseudomonadota; Alphaproteobacteria; Rhodobacterales; Paracoccaceae
Description: tRNA-Leu
Rfam family: tRNA
About the family: Transfer RNA (tRNA) molecules are approximately 80 nucleotides in length. Their secondary structure includes four short double-helical elements and three loops (D, anti-codon, and T loops). Further hydrogen bonds mediate the characteristic L-shaped molecular structure. tRNAs have two regions of fundamental functional importance: the anti-codon, which is responsible for specific mRNA codon recognition, and the 3' end, to which the tRNAs corresponding amino acid is attached (by aminoacyl-tRNA synthetases). tRNAs cope with the degeneracy of the genetic code in two manners: having more than one tRNA (with a specific anti-codon) for a particular amino acid; and 'wobble' base-pairing, i.e. permitting non-standard base-pairing at the 3rd anti-codon position.
Source: RNAcentral